This 1318-nucleotide long non-coding RNA is filed under the name Phoenix dactylifera (date palm). RNAcentral's name for it is "long non-coding RNA (PDAC_LNC013008)". The record is from RNAcentral. Lineage: Eukaryota; Viridiplantae; Streptophyta; Magnoliopsida; Arecales; Arecaceae.
UUAAGGCUGCAAAUGGGUCGGGUCGACCCGGGACCCGACCCGACCCGACCCGCUUUAGACCCGACCCGACCCGAAUUUUAGGACCCGCGGGGCCGGGUUGGGUCCUAAAUUUAGACCCGAUCUAUUUUUCGGGUCGGGUCGGGUCCAUCCNNNNNNNNNNNNNNNNNNNNNNNNNNNNNNNNNNAUAUAAAGCUAAAUGCCUAAAUCCUGCCUUCUCGCCUUCGGCCGCCCACGUGGUCCUACUCAGGCGCCGUACUGCAUUCUCCAGUCCACUGUCCAUUCUCCAUCAGUCCGUCGUUGUCCGUCUCCAUUCUCUCGAUCUCUUCUCUAGAGACUUCUUCCCUGGACGCUGGUUCUCUUCCCCUGUUCCACUUACCAUCCGAUCUUUCAUCCUUGAGGGUUUUGAGGUUCUUCGGUUCUUCCAUCCACCGAUCACUAUAGGUACUCCAUGAGUCUGUCCAUCUCUAUUCUCUUCUCUAGCAACUUCUUCUCUGGUUCUCCGCCACAUUCCAUCUAGUCUUUGAGGGUUUUGAGGUUCUUCAGUUCUUCCAUCCACCGACCCCCGUUCCUUAGGGUUUCCAGGUUUUCUUCUAUUGACUAAACUACUAGCCUACCCAUUCACACCUUUGCCGCUUCCAUCAACUGAUCAACCAACUCCGAGCGGUGAGAGCCUGAAAUCUUGCUGCAUGGGAAAGAUUGACCUCUAAGGCUCUAAAUCCCUCUAGAUCGACAGACUCCGAGCUUCUUUCCUCAACGAUCUAGUCUUCCUCAAACCCUAACUCCCUCAAAAGUUAAAACCUCCAUCAGCUUCUUCAAGAUACCUCAUCUCAAAGACUAAAACCCUUUCUAUUCCGAUUUCUCUCCUCUGUCUCUUGAUUUUCCAUCCUUUCAGCAAGAACUAGAGAAUCUCCAAGGAAGAGAAGAAGAAGAUGCACGGUAAGAUCAACUUCUUUUUUAUUUUUCAUCUUUUUAUAUUUUUUCUCUCUCUUUUUUUUUCUCAAUAUAGUUUUGAUUUGCUCGAUCUACUGCAGUGUGGUGUGGAUCCCUCUGCGAAGAAAGACUGGUAAGAGUGGUGCUGCAGCAGCCACUGUGGCUCCUUCCAUUUCCACUGCCCUGCAGCCCAAAAAACCAAAAGAAAAAGCUAAGCCACUAUCUCUUUUUUUUUUUAGUUCGUUUUCUCUUAAAAAAAUAAUCUUACUAUUUAUGAAAAUGUUAAUUAAUUAAUUUGAGUUUUUUNNNNNNNNNNNNNNNNNNNNNNNNNNNNNNNCUGCCCAUAUCUUUAGCCGUCCCAUCAUCAUUAAGGGCGACAUGAUAUUCG